GUUAUUUGGCCGCUUAAGGCACUCCAGUACUCGAACAAGCGUCUUACUCACCCGACUUGGCACCCUGCGACUUUUACUUGUUUCCGAAGAUAAAGUCUGCCUUAAAAGGAAUCCGGUUUGAGUCGAUGGAAGAGGUGAAACAAAAAUCGGCGGAACUCCUGAAUGGUCUUACGAAAACAGACUUCCAGCACUGUCUCGAGCAAUGGAAGAAACGAAUGAAACGGUUUGUGGUGAGAGGAGGGGAGUAUAUUGAAGGGGAGCAUUUGAAUGUAGAAUAAUUUUUAUAAUAAAACACUAUUUCUUAACCAGUC
Non-coding RNA from Cinara cedri, 311 nucleotides. The record is from the annotation of a GenBank genome assembly. NCBI's taxonomy places the organism in Eukaryota, Metazoa, Arthropoda, Insecta, Hemiptera, Aphididae.